This 172-nucleotide small RNA is filed under the name uncultured Alloprevotella sp. Its description in RNAcentral is "Bacteroidales-1 6S-Bacteroidales RNA suggested". It matches the Rfam family "Bacteroidales-1 6S-Bacteroidales RNA suggested". Lineage: Bacteria; Pseudomonadati; Bacteroidota; Bacteroidia; Bacteroidales; Prevotellaceae. The record is from RNAcentral.
CUGUGCCGGUUCGAUUGGGAUUCUCAUCAAUUAAACACCGAAACCGAGAAUGCUGCUUAUACAAUGGCGGGCCGAUAUAUGCUUCGCGGCAUAACGUCGGAUUACAGAGUAUAAGCGUGCGCUCAAAUCCUAUCACUACAGGAGUUUCAUCACAUCAUCGGCACAGCCCUCU